AAACAAGAGUACAACAGUUGCCACCAUGGUUUUCCUGCCAGCUGCGACACCCCAUCUCAUCGAGGAUACAACAAUUGGCAAUGCGAAGGAAACAGCCGAAGUAAUUCUCAAUAGCAAGAGAAUUGCUCAAUAGAUAAGCCAAUCCUGAAACAGCAGCAAACAUAGCACCUUCUACUAGUCUCAAAGUCCUCUUAUAAACAACCCCAUCUGGAGCUAAGUACUCAUACUCCUCUGAAUUUUCCUCUUCUUUAUCACUCCAAAUUUGGGUUUUUACAGUUGAACCUUUCACAUUUCUUGGCUUAAAACUGUCAAGAGAACAAUUAAGAACUAAAGGCAGAAUUUUUGGUUUGUGGGUAGGCAAAAAAAUGAAAUGGGGUGCUAAAAAAGAUGAAUGGGGUGAUAAAUUCCCAGAAAUUGAAGAGAAUUUGCUAUUGUAGUGAAGUUUGAGGAACACCUCCUCCAUAUUCAUCAGUCUCUUCUG
This 481-nucleotide unclassified non-coding RNA is filed under the name Hevea brasiliensis (rubber tree). The record is from RNAcentral. Lineage: Eukaryota; Viridiplantae; Streptophyta; Magnoliopsida; Malpighiales; Euphorbiaceae.